AUGCCAUGGUGCGGCCAUUUCCUCAACAGCUCUUUGAACCUUUCCCACACGUUAGGAACAGCCUCAUCGUCCAUUUGUUUGAAAAGAUAAAUCUCAUUUAUGGACUU
Small nucleolar RNA from Cynara cardunculus var. scolymus (artichoke), 107 nucleotides. NCBI's taxonomy places the organism in Eukaryota, Viridiplantae, Streptophyta, Magnoliopsida, Asterales, Asteraceae. The record is from RefSeq and is a predicted model, not a curated record.